Molecule: ribosomal RNA, 429 nt
Filed under: Pseudomonadota bacterium
Lineage: Bacteria; Pseudomonadati; Pseudomonadota
Description: Proteobacteria bacterium partial 16S ribosomal RNA
Rfam family: Bacterial small subunit ribosomal RNA
Source: RNAcentral
UGGGGAAUAUUGGACAAUGGGCGAAAGCCUGAUCCAGCCAUGCCGCGUGUGUGAAGAAGGUCUUCGGAUUGUAAAGCACUUUAAGUUGGGAGGAAGGGCAGUAAGCGAAUACCUUGCUGUUUUGACGUUACCGACAGAAUAUGCACCGUCUAACUCUGUGCCAGCAGCCGCGGUAAUACAGAGGGUGCAAGCGUUAAUCGGAAUUACUGGGCGUAAAGCGCGCGUAGGUGGUUCGUUGAGUUGCAUGUGAAAGCCCCGGGCUCAACCUGGGGACUGCAUCCAAAACUGGCGGGCUAGAGUAGGGCAGAGGGUGGUGGAAUUUCCUGUGUAGCGGUGGAAUGCGUAGAUAUAGGAAGGAACACCAGUGGCGAAGGCGACCACCUGGGCUCAUACUGACACUGAGGUGCGAAAGCGUGGGGAGCAAACAGG